AUGAACGCUGGCGGCGUGCCUAAUACAUGCAAGUCGAGCGCACAGACGAGGAGCUUGCUCCUCUGACGUUAGCGGCGGACGGGUGAGUAACACGUGGAUAACCUACCUAUAAGACUGGGAUAACUUCGGGAAACCGGAGCUAAUACCGGAUAAUAUAUUGAACCGCACGGUUCAAUAGUGAAAGACGGUUUUGCUGUCACUUAUAGAUGGAUCCGCGCCGCAUUAGCUAGUUGGUAAGGUAACGGCUUACCAAGGCAACGAUGCGUAGCCGACCUGAGAGGGUGAUCGGCCACACUGGAACUGAGACACGGUCCAGACUCCUACGGGAGGCAGCAGUAGGGAAUCUUCCGCAAUGGGCGAAAGCCUGACGGAGCAACGCCGCGUGAGUGAUGAAGGUCUUCGGAUCGUAAAACUCUGUUAUUAGGGAAGAACAAAUGUGUAAGUAACUAUGCACGUCUUGACGGUACCUAAUCAGAAAGCCACGGCUAACUACGUG
This 496-nucleotide ribosomal RNA is filed under the name uncultured bacterium. RNAcentral describes it as "partial 16S ribosomal RNA". It matches the Rfam family "Bacterial small subunit ribosomal RNA", at positions 29 to 507 of the family's 1533-position model. The record is from RNAcentral.